This 203-nucleotide unclassified non-coding RNA is filed under the name Hevea brasiliensis (rubber tree). Lineage: Eukaryota; Viridiplantae; Streptophyta; Magnoliopsida; Malpighiales; Euphorbiaceae. The record is from RNAcentral.
GGUGUGACCCUUUAAUUCAACAUCUUUUACCUUUCCAUGACCAUGAGGCUCAAUUUGCCAAAUACGAGCUGUUUGAUCCACAGAACCUGAAGCUAAUUUCGUGCCACUGCAGUUCCAUGCCACCGAAUGCACCUUCUUCUUGUGUCCCUGGUACUCUCUGCUAUGAAGAUUUUUGAAGGGUAUUGUUUCCGCCAUUACUCUUC